Molecule: transfer RNA, 72 nt
Filed under: Felis catus (domestic cat)
Lineage: Eukaryota; Metazoa; Chordata; Mammalia; Carnivora; Felidae
Also listed under: 6 other names
Rfam family: tRNA
About the family: Transfer RNA (tRNA) molecules are approximately 80 nucleotides in length.
Source: Rfam by way of RNAcentral
UCCUGGCUGGCUCAGUGGUGGAGCAUAUGACUCUUGAUCUCAGGGUUGUGAGUUCAAGCCCCACGUUGGGUG